CCUACGGGAGGCAGCAGUGAGGAAUAUUGGUCAAUGGGCGGAAGCCUGAACCAGCCAAGUAGCGUGCAGGAUGACGGCCCUACGGGUUGUAAACUGCUUUUAUACGGGAAUAACGCGCCUUACGUGUAGGGCUUUGCAUGUACCGUAUGAAUAAGCACCGGCUAAUUCCGUGCCAGCAGCCGCGGUAAUACGGAAGGUCCGGGCGUUAUCCGGAUUUAUUGGGUUUAAAGGGAGCGUAGGCCGCAUGUCAAGCGUGCUGUGAAAUGUCCGGGCUCAACCCCGGCCUGGCCGCGGGAACUGGCUUGCUUGAGUCCGCGGAAAGCAGGCGGAAUGCGUGGUGUAGCGGUGAAAUGCUUAGAUAUGACGAAGAACCCCGAUUGCGAAGGCAGCUUGCUGCAGCGGAACUGACGCUGAUGCUCGAAAGCGCGGGUAUCGAACAGGAUUAGAUACCCGUGUAGUC
RNAcentral lists this ribosomal RNA (460 nucleotides) under uncultured bacterium. Its description in RNAcentral is "partial 16S ribosomal RNA". It matches the Rfam family "Bacterial small subunit ribosomal RNA", at positions 338 to 795 of the family's 1533-position model. The record is from RNAcentral.